GAAAGAAUGCUCCUCUUACUGGCAAUUCAAAGCAUUGGUCAAUAAAAGUCGGUAAAAGGGAAUUAAAAUUUUCCCUCCAAUUUAUUUCGAGAAUUUAUUCUCCCUCCAAUUUAUUUCGCGGCAAAAUAUUCCCUCUACCGCCGCAUAAUAGAGCAAACCUCUCUCCCUCAUCAUCACCAAGUAAUCUUAGUUUUCCUGCCGAAAUUCGUCGUUAAUUAUUGAUAUUUCUCAGAUCUAGUGUUGUUUCUGUGUCGAAUUGAUGAAAAUUUCACCAAUGCCUAAAAAUUCUGGGUCACUGGUGCGCAUAUCUGCUUGAAUUUUUAUAUUAUCGAUCUAUAAGAAACAGUGGAUAGGCGAUGUGGGUGUGGCUUUUCGAAUUAUUCUUCGGUACCAAGCAAAAUUUAUCUUCUUUUAUAGAGGAAUAACAGUAAUCGCAAGUUUGUCUGCUGCUCCAAUUUGGAGCUUGAAAUAUUUAAUGCAGAAAUCUGGAUCAAUCUGGUAAUUUUUGAUAUAGGUCAAUUUACAGCCACCAUAUCUGAAUAAGAAGUUAUAGUUCUACCAUUUUGUUCAAAGUAUCUUAAUAAUCUUGAAAUGGACUCUGCUAGUUGGUAUUGGGUUGCCAAAUUAAAGCAUAAAUUUUCACUUUUGGUUGACUUGGUUAGAUAUAAUUCACCAUCAUGUAAAGUCCUAGCAAGGCCCUGCGCGGAUCAAGCUCACACAUAGAUCUUUAUUCAUGUUAAAACUAUAUUACUAUUGUUGAUCUCAUGAUAGGAAUAAUCUGAUAGGAAGUUACAUGUUAAUUGCUUAAUCGGUUUCAAAAAGAGAAACAAAAUGUGAUCAUAUUAUUACUUACUACACAAAACGGUGGACCGGAUUCUUUGGUCCGACCUUCUGAACCAAGAUUGUACAACCAACUGUGAAUCUUGUUCUUUGCUCAUUUUCAGGUUAAACUUCAAUGAUAAAUGGGAGACACGAAUAUAUACCAAACUAAAGGAGGUGAAGCACCAUAUACGGUAUGAACAUUCACCAUUUAAACCACAAUAUCAAAAAAUUUCGUCACUUUUGUAACCUAAGGCAAUCAAGCACAGAUCUUUUUCUUUCGCUGCACUUAAUCCAUCCUUUUCAAUUAGAUCUUCUGGACUAAUUCCAUAUGGAAGCGCCCAGUUAAAGUGGUAGAGGAGCCGAGCCAAAGGAUGUUUAACAUUAGCUGAACCAAAUUACAUUCUUGGACAAAUUCUUUUUCCUGCAUCAAAUGGAAUAAGCUGAAAGUGAUUUCCAAUAAAGUCAACAGAAGAAUUUUCAAAUCUCUCUUGUAUAAAACUCUCAGGGUCAUGCCAACUUUCUGGAUCUCUUCCGAGUGCCCACGAAUUGAUUAGUACUCUGGUCCUGGGAGGUACUUUAUAUCCAUUAAUAUUGUAGACAAUAAAUUUGCGUCGAGAAAAUAAAAUCAAGAUUGAAAAAUAUCGUAACAAUCGUAGUAUUUUAUUUUGAAUAUUUGAGUGUCACAAUCUCUAUAAAUCCUCUGAUUCUUCUUUCCAAUUGUAAAUAAAUUCAAGGGUCUUUGAGCUUGAUUUUGAAUAUGUAGUUGUUGCUACGAACGAUGAUCUUGUUCUUGAGCUUUAGCUUGAUUGCUUGAACUUGAUUUUGAUUUGUCCUUCGUUCUUGAGCUUGAACUUGAUUUUUGUUCUUCGUUCUUGAGCUUGAACUUAAUUUCUUGAAGCUUGAAACUUGUUGAGAAAUUUGCGGCGUUUGAUCCACGAACUCUCUAUUGCUUUUUGUUAUAGCUUCUCGUGUCUUAUCUGAGUUAUAAAGACCCCUAUUUAUAGUUGUGGAAGAGAAGAGUUGUGAUAAGAACAAACUCUUUCUGACCAAUCAAAUUAAAGUAUGACAUGACCACAUUUGAUUGGCCAGAACAUGUC
RNAcentral lists this long non-coding RNA (1919 nucleotides) under Nicotiana tabacum (common tobacco). RNAcentral's name for it is "long non-coding RNA (NTAB_LNC014588)". The record is from RNAcentral. Lineage: Eukaryota; Viridiplantae; Streptophyta; Magnoliopsida; Solanales; Solanaceae.